CGCUCCAAAGCUCGGGGAGUGGUGGUCUCCCUUUCCUGGAGUCAUUUGUGGGAGUUAGGGUCUUAUCCUGAUCUUUCCUCGUCCCCCGCUCCCCCGUCCUCCGAGGUGGCAGCUGCGUAGGUGAACGUUCCCCCUGUCCCCUUCCUUCUCCUUCCUAACCCGAGUACGCUUGCUCGCGGCCACAGUGGCUGCCUGCCCCAGGAGCGGGGAGUCCCUGCCUUUGGGGUAGGGAAAUGACUGAAAUGUGGGACCUGCGGGCUCCUCGGGCUGACUUGGACCUCACUGCAGCUCUGGAGGUGGACCUCGUCCUGGGACCCUAGAAGCCCAUUUCCGCACUCGGGCUAGGCCUUCGGAGCCGCGGCAGCAUAGUGGGAGGAGUCGGGCUCAGCUCCCCCCCACCACAACCGGGAUUAUUUUUAUCGUCUGGAACGUUUUUUCUUAGAGUUCCAGAAUUGAGACUGAAGUGUACCCAGAGACACAAAGAAAUACAGAAGUCCAGAAUGAUCAAAUGAGAUCACUACCCAAUGAAAUGAUGGGCCGAGGAGCCAGAAGUUGUCCUACUACCUGCUUUCCAGGUCCAGAUUCCACGAGAGCCUUCUGGGCUCCCACCAGAGACCCUCAGUGAAGACUCUGUUGAAGACUUUAAGACCAUGCUAGAAAGCCUCCCGGCAGAGGUUCAGGAAGUUCUGCUAUGAGGAUGCAGCUGGCCCCAGGGAUGUCCUCAGGCAUCUCUAGGACCUUGCUGGACGGUGGUGGCUGAGACCUGAUAUCCACACAAAGGAGCAGACUGUGGAAAUGCUGGUGCAGGAGCAAUUCCAGGCUGUCCUGCCCGAGGAGCUCAGAGCUCAAGCACAGAGAUGUCAGCCUGGAAUCAGAAUCACUGGCUAAGUCUUGCUGCUUGCUUCUUGCUCAGCCUGCAUAUGAGAAGUCAACCAAGCAUUCUCUUGGAUGCAAGAUCCAACUGCACCCAUGGGAAAUCUGAACUUCCACUUUCUUUGAGCUUGUCUUUGGUUGUAAUAAGAAUCCAUCAAAACCCAUGUCUGGAUCUCUCUUUGGCUGAGGCAGCUUUAUUUCCUACAGAAAGAGUUUCUCUGUCCUCUUGUUAGGACAAUCAGCCUGCUGCUUUGGGCUUUUCCAAGAGCCUAUUUUUCAUCUGCUGGAUGCCUCUUUUUUUUUUUUUUUUUUUUUUUGCACUGUGUGACAUGCUUUAAUAUAUAUAUUUUUUAUGUAUCCAAAGAGGUAAUCAACUUUAACUUUCAGAAUUCAUGAAUCUUGGUUUGGUGGCAUGAAUGAAAGGUUAUGUAACCCCACCAGUAACUCAUUUGGGGUGCCCUUGAAAUAUUAAAGUUUGGUCCUCAAUAAA
RNAcentral lists this long non-coding RNA (1363 nucleotides) under Homo sapiens (human). RNAcentral's name for it is "HSALNT0290687". The record is from RNAcentral. Lineage: Eukaryota; Metazoa; Chordata; Mammalia; Primates; Hominidae.